GACGAACCGUCCGAACGUUAUUCGGAAUCACUGGGCUUACAGAGUUCGUAGGCGGUCCGGUAAGUUAGAUGUGAAAUCCCUUGGCUUAACCAAGGAACUGCGUUUGAAACUACCGGACUCGAGGGAGAUAGAGGAAAGCGGAACUGAUGGUGGAGCGGUGAAAUGCGUUGAUAUCAUCAGGAACACCGGUGGCGAAGGCGGCUUUCUGGGUCUCUUCUGACGCUGAGGAACGAAAGCUAGGGGAGCGAACGGG
RNAcentral lists this ribosomal RNA (253 nucleotides) under uncultured bacterium. Its description in RNAcentral is "partial 16S ribosomal RNA". It matches the Rfam family "Bacterial small subunit ribosomal RNA", at positions 524 to 776 of the family's 1533-position model. The record is from RNAcentral.